GACGAACGCUGGCGGCGUGCUUAACACAUGCAAGUCGAACGGAAAGGCCCUGCUUUUGUGGGGUGCUCGAGUGGCGAACGGGUGAGUAACACGUGAGUAACCUGCCCUUGACUUUGGGAUAACUUCAGGAAACUGGGGCUAAUACCGGAUAGGAGCUCCUGCUGCAUGGUGGGGGUUGGAAAGUUUCGGCGGUUGGGGAUGGACUCGCGGCUUAUCAGCUUGUUGGUGGGGUAGUGGCUUACCAAGGCUUUGACGGGUAGCCGGCCUGAGAGGGUGACCGGCCACAUUGGGACUGGGAUACGGCAGACUCCUACGGGAGGCAGCAGUGGGGAAUAUUGCACAAUGGGCGGAAGCCUGAUGCAGCAACGCCGCGUGCGGGAUGACGGCCUUCGGGUUGUAAACCGCUUUCGCCUGUGACGAAGCGUGAGUGACGGUAAUGGGUAAAGAAGCACCGGCUAACUACGUG
RNAcentral lists this ribosomal RNA (466 nucleotides) under uncultured bacterium. Its description in RNAcentral is "partial 16S ribosomal RNA". It matches the Rfam family "Bacterial small subunit ribosomal RNA", at positions 28 to 507 of the family's 1533-position model. The record is from RNAcentral.